AGGCUUAUGGUGGAUACCUAAGCACCUAAAAACAAGGAAGGGCAUAGUAAGCAACAAAAUGAUUUGGGGAGUUGAAAAUAAACAUAGAUCUGGAGAUUCCUGAAUAGGUCAACGAAAUGGAAGCAGCCUAAACCAUGAAAAGGGGGUUGUGGGAGAGCAAUACAAGUGUCGUGCUUCUAGGCAAAGCGGUGGAGUACUACUACACCCUAGAUGGCGAGAGUCUAGUAGCUGAAAGCAUCACUAGCUUACACUCUAACUUGACUAGCAUGGGGCACGUGGAAUCCCRUGUGAAUCAGCAAGGACCACCUUACAAGGCUAAAUACUCCUAUGUGACUGAUAGUGAAGUAGUACCAUAAGGGGAGGGUGAAAAGUACCCUCAUCGGGGAGUGAAAUAGAAUACAAAACCAUAAGCUCCUAAGUAGUGGGAGGAGCCCAUGGCUCUAACUGCGUGCUUGUUGAAGAAUGAGCCAGCGAUUCAUAGGUAGUGGCUUGGUUAAGGGAACCCACCGGAGCCGUAGCGAAAGCGAGUCUUCAUAGGGCAAUUGUCACUGCUUAUGGACCCGAACCCAGGUAAUCUAUCUAUGACUAGGAUGAAGCUUGGGAAGUGGAGAUCUAAAUCGACUGAUGCUGAAGAAUUAACAAAUGAAUUGUGGUUAGGAGUGAAAUGCCACUUGAACCCAGAGCUAGCUAGCUCCCCCUCAAAUGCGUUGAGGUGUAGCAGUUGAUUGGACAUCUAGGGGUAAAGCACUAUUUUGGUGCGGGCCGCGAGAAUGGUACCAAAUCGAGGCAAACUCUGAAUACUAGAUAUGACUGCUCAAUGAUAAAGGAGGUAGGGGUGCAGAGACAACCAAGAGGUUUGCCUAGAAACAACCACCUUUGCAAGAGUGUGUGUAAUAGCUCAUUGAUUGAGUGCUCUUAUGCCAAAGAUGAACGGAGCUAAGCAAUCUGCCAAAGCUAUGGGAUGUAAAAAUGCAUCGAUAGGGGAGCAUUCCGCCUUAGAUGGUAGCACCCACGCAAAUAGGUGUGGAUGAAGCGGAAGCGAGAAUGUUGGCUUGAGUAACACAAACAUUGGUGAGGAUCCAAUG
Molecule: non-coding RNA, 1085 nt
Filed under: Nelumbo nucifera (sacred lotus)
Lineage: Eukaryota; Viridiplantae; Streptophyta; Magnoliopsida; Proteales; Nelumbonaceae
Source: Rfam by way of RNAcentral